GCUCCCAUAGCUCAGUUUGGUUAGAGCGUACGACUAAUAAUCGUAAGGUCGACGGUUCAAGCCCGUCUGGGAGCA
This is a non-coding RNA of Picochlorum sp. SENEW3, 75 nucleotides long. Lineage: Eukaryota; Viridiplantae; Chlorophyta; Trebouxiophyceae. The record is from the annotation of a GenBank genome assembly.